AAGCCUGAUCCAGCAAUGCCGCGUGAGUGAAGAAGGCCUUCGGGUUGUAAAGCUCUUUUACCCGGGAAGAUAAUGACCGUACCGGGAGAAUAAGCCCCGGCUAACUCCGUGCCAGCAGCCGCGGUAAUACGGAGGGGGCUAGCGUUGUUCGGAAUCACUGGGCGUAAAGCGUGCGUAGGCGGCCAUUCAAGUCAGAGGUGAAAGCCCAGGGCUCAACCCUGGAACUGCCUUUGAAACUAGAUGGCUGGAACACGGGAGAGGUGAGUGGAAUUCCGAGUGUAGAGGUGAAAUUCGUAGAUAUUCGGAAGAACACCAGUGGCGAAGGCGGCUCACUGGACCGUUGUUGACGCUGAGGCACGAAAGCGUGGGGAGCAAACAGGAUUAGAUACCCUGGUAGUCCACGCCGUAAACGAUGAUAACUAGCUGUUGGGGCUCUUGGAGCUCCAGUGGCGCAGCUAACGCA
This 463-nucleotide ribosomal RNA is filed under the name alpha proteobacterium Mso2. Its description in RNAcentral is "bacterial SSU rRNA". It matches the Rfam family "Bacterial small subunit ribosomal RNA", at positions 379 to 859 of the family's 1533-position model. Lineage: Bacteria; Pseudomonadati; Pseudomonadota; Alphaproteobacteria. The record is from RNAcentral.